Long non-coding RNA from Oncorhynchus tshawytscha (Chinook salmon), 3705 nucleotides. Lineage: Eukaryota; Metazoa; Chordata; Actinopteri; Salmoniformes; Salmonidae. The record is from Ensembl.
CCACGACUGCGUGGCCAUGCACGCCUCCAACUCAAUCAUCAACUUUGCAGACGACACAACAGUGGUAGGCUUGAUUACCAACAACGAUGAGACAGCCUACAGGGAGAAGGUGAGGAACCUCGGAGUGUGGUGUCAGGAAAAUAACCUCUCAUUCAAUGUCAGCAAAACAAAAGAGAUGAUUGUGGACUUCAGGAAACAGCAAAGGGAGAACCCCCCUAUCCACAUCGACGGGACAGCAGUGGAGAAGGUGGAAAGUAUUAAGUUCCUCGGUGUUAAUAUCACCAACAAACUGAAAUGGUCCACGCACACAGGCAGUGUGGUGAAGAAGGCAAACUACCUGCCCUCCAGGACACCUACAACACCUGAUGUCAUAGGAAGGCAAAAAAGAUCAUCAAGGACAAUAACCACUCAAGCCACUGCCUGUUCACCCAUAACCAGACUUUCAAAGGACUUCAUGGCUAUAGAUGUGAGUGCUACAGGGCAGUAGUCAUUUAAGCAGGUUACCUUGGUGUUCUUGGGCACAGGGACUAUGGUGGUCUGCUUGAAACAAUCCAGUUUGGGAAUAGCCAAUAUAGGAGGCACAUUUUUAUUUUUUGCAAAUAUUUUCUUUCUUUAAAAAAAACAACUACGUUGUUGGUUAAGGGCUUGUCGGUCCAUGUAUCUACAAAGAGGUUUCGUUUGAGCCUGGACAGACCUUCUACAGGGGUUGUAACAAGUGCAACUGCCACGAAAAUGGCUACUUCUGUCUCUCGUGAGUAAACGGACCAAAUUAGUGACAGUAUGCAAGUCAAACAUAUAAACCAAACAUGAAUUCCGUUUUUGCCAAUAUCACGUAUUAUUUUCGUUCAUAUCCCCAGACCGAUGAAACCUACCACAUGGCCCAACAAGUGCCAGCGGUUUCCAACGGAGUGUGGCUACCGCGUGAUUUAUAAGGAGGUGGAGUGUCAAGUCUACAGCUGGAUCUGGUGAAGGCAGACAGACACCUAUGCCCCCCUACAGUCAACAUACACGAUCGCAAGACUCUGGCUGUGGACAACCUCUUCAAUUUAAGUAGUUAUCAUGCAGAGAACUGACCACAUCCAACCUUCAAUUUAUCAACUUGUUCAAUCAAAGGAACCAAUUCCCAAAUUGAACGACCCAACUCCAAAAGUUUAGUCCUUCGUUUCAAUAAAUGUGUGUAGGGGUCAGAUUGUGUGUGUGUGUUAAUGUUACUAAAAAGUGGGACCGAAGGACCUCAAUUGGCACGGAUUCCAAAUGGGCAUAGAUUCAAAUUCCUAUAGAUUCUCAAACACAAGAACACAAGUACCACAAAAAGUAGCAACAUACUCUGACUGUACAGUAGUGUCCUAUCAUCCAAUAUGAGUGCUCAGCUUCCUGCCCUCCUCUCCUUACUUUAGUGACCACUGAUCUUGAUCACAUCGACAGUGUCAUUAUUUUUCGGUAGACAAAAAGUACAUUAAAUUUCCAAUGGAAAGCUGUGGUUGCCCUGCAGCAUUGCAGAGGCAGUUGCAGUGCUUAAUGUAUAAAUUCGAUUUGUCGAACGUAUGUGUAACGACCCUGGGUUUAUAACCGAGGAAAUCGACUCUGCCGCUGGAGCAUGCUUUUGCGGCAGUCGAUAGCGCGCCGGACCUCGGGUCCCUGCUGUUUCAUUACAGUAUGCAUCAAAUCGUAUGCGUAGACGGCGUGACAUAAAUGGUAGCAGAAUGUGAAUGUUGAACUUUUGUUGCACACAUAUCCAGAUGAUGCGUAUAAUUUUACACAAUGAUUAACAUAGUUAAAGGUUAAAUAAAAAUGUGAUAGAGUUGUAACGCCUUGAUCACGCCGAUAGUGUCAUAGCGCAAAAUAGUAAGCGGCAUCAUCUGGAUUUGUGUGCAACAAAGGUUCAACAUGAACUUUCUGCUACCAUUUCUGUCGAGCAGUCUACGCAGUUUGAUGCAUACGUUCGAUAAAUCCAAUUCAUGCAUCACACAAAACACACUAACGGCCUCUGCAAUUCUGCAAAGCAAACAGCGUUCCAUUGGAAAUGAAUGUACUUCUGGUGUACCAAAAUGCAAUGACGGCGUGAUCGAGGCGUAAGCGGCCAACUGAGUAGUUUGAUGAGGACUCCGACCAUAUGUCAAUAUUGUAUCACCUGUUGUUUACGAAGCAUGUGACAAAUAAAAGUUUGAUUUGACCUCGUGACAAGACAAACGGCGUGCUUCUAGAUAUUAUAUUACCCGGCACUGCCCGAGUGUGGCCCUCAAAUCUCAACCAGAUACCCUUCAUUGCCAUGCAGUGUUACAAAGGUCUAUAUCGGUUCCUUCGUAGGUGUUCAGUCUUCUGUAUGUCGCAGACCGCUAUGUUUUCAAUGUGAGGAAGCGAGAGCGCCAUCGGUCAACUUCACAAACCGAGGCUGGAUUUACUCUACUAUGCACGCUCCAUACAGGCUCCGCAAACUCUUUGCGACUUCACCCGCACUGAGAUUUUCGCUGUGCAUGGCAGAGCGUGUAACUUCACACAAUUGUCAGUGAUGAAUUGCUCAGCAGAAAGCUUGACUGUGGCGUUUACUCAGCCUUACAGGGCAACUCCCUAGCCUCACCCGUCGACUGGUUUUUCAGGCUAAGGAUAUAUUUCACCGUUCACGUCACUGUGUAUACAGUAUAUGUAUAGAAUCAAUUAUUUCAAAUAAAACAGGGCAGUGUUACAUACUGUGUAACUAAAUGUCAACUAUUUCUUCAACAGGUUUUUGGGAACGGAUAGUGCAUGAAAUAUCAACAUGGUCAUUUUUCUAAAUACAUCAUCAGUAUUUUAUUAUGAAAAUGCAUUUACAUCUCUUCUGCUUUUUUUCUCUUUUGGAUGGGGGAGUCCACAUAGUCACCACUAUGUUGUGUAAAAAAUAAAACGAGUUAAACGUCACCCCCACACCCCCCAAAAAAUGCAGUGUCCAGUUUCUCUAGGAGUCGAAAGUGAAGAGGUAAAACAAAGACUUUGUCAACAGACCUAAUCAUCCCAAUCCGACCAUCUGUCAGUCCCAGAAAAUAAAUAUCAUGCGGCAAAUUUAGUGUACUAGAUUUCUCUUUACAGUUUAACACAUUUGACACAAGUACACAUGAUCAUACAUUGUCAUUUUUGUUUCAUUUUAGGGGUUAUUUCUUUAUUUAAGGUGCUGGUAAUUUUGGGUGACAUUUCUCAGGAUGUCUUCUGUCAAACAUUCAUUCAAACAGUGAGUACCUUACGUCUGUGGAUGAGGCAAUAAGAAGAAAGGUCAAGUGUCCGGUCAAGCUGGCCAGUCCCUCUUUCCGAAGCCCCAAAGACAUUUACUCUCUGAACGAUUUCCAUCUUCCUGGCACUAGGGUACUACAACUCCCAGCGUGCAUCAGCAAUGUCAUUUAACGUUGAUUGAAAGUCCCCAUGCUGUGGUCAUGGCAGAUGACUAAUUUUGCGUUGUGAUGUUCAUCUUUUUGUUUAGUAUUCCGUUGGUAAGGACCCUAAUAAAAUGGGGGUACAGCAUUCUGUGGAAAGUGAGACUUCUUGAAGCAGCAACAAAUAAGGAGAACACAGCAGCUUUUUUUUAUACCGUUCAAACCAUCCUCCUGUUUUCUUAGGUGGCAUAUGGAAUGCAAGGAAUGGUCAGAAGGAGAGAAAAAUAUAUUCUCAAUACAUUUUGAUAAAACUAAUCCGACAGGAUUCAAAAGAGACGACAAACCCAACAACGGAGUAAAAAUA